RNAcentral lists this ribosomal RNA (253 nucleotides) under uncultured bacterium. Its description in RNAcentral is "partial 16S ribosomal RNA". It matches the Rfam family "Bacterial small subunit ribosomal RNA", at positions 524 to 776 of the family's 1533-position model. The record is from RNAcentral.
UACGAAGGGUGCAAGCGUUACUCGGAAUUACUGGGCGUAAAGCGUGCGUAGGUGGUUCGUUAAGUCUGAUGUGAAAGCCCUGGGCUCAACCUGGGAAUGGCAUUGGAUACUGGCGACCUAGAGUGCGGUAGAGGGUGGCGGAAUUCCCGGUGUAGCAGUGAAAUGCGUAGAUAUUGGGAAGAACACCGGUGGCGAAGGCGGCUAUCUGGACCGACAUUGACGCUGAGGCGCGAAAGCGUGGGGAGCAAACAGG